This 73-nucleotide transfer RNA is filed under the name Apaloderma vittatum (bar-tailed trogon). It matches the Rfam family "tRNA". Rfam says of the family: Transfer RNA (tRNA) molecules are approximately 80 nucleotides in length. Their secondary structure includes four short double-helical elements and three loops (D, anti-codon, and T loops). The record is from Rfam by way of RNAcentral. Lineage: Eukaryota; Metazoa; Chordata; Aves; Trogoniformes; Trogonidae.
UGCCAGUUAGCUCAGUUGGUUGAGCAUGGUACUGGUAACACCAAGGUCACGGGUUCGAUUCCCGUUCUGUCCC